UCUGGUCGAUAAUCCGACUUGUUUCCUGGCGCUUUUUCUUAUUGCAGUGAAGUCUGAUGGCGAAGCAAGUUGGUUGUGCAAGAUAAAUUGUGACUGGGGAACCUGAAUGUGUUGAUGUGCUUAUAUGCACACACACACACAAAAGAUCCUGCAUGGUAAAGUGCUUAAAGGCUGGACUAGGACUUGGGAGCCCAGGGUUCAAAUUCCCCACUCUGCCACCUACAGGGUGAGAUUGGAAUAGUCAGCCUGAGCCUAAUAUACCUCACAGGGUUGUUGUGAAGAUAAAAUGGAGAGGUGGGGGGGGGGACCAUGCGUGCAAGCUUAGGGUAGCUCAAGGUGGAGUAGAAAUGUAAAAAUAAACUUUUCCAGCUCUGCAGUAUCCUUCUGUGAAGCGAGAUGAUCAGAGCUGUACAUAUACGGUAUUCCAAAUGCAGUCUCAUCAUAGUGUUAUAGGAAUUCUAAGGUCAUAUAUAUAGAAUAAAUGUUCAUAAAUGUACAGGGCAAAUACACAUGCAUAAGUAUAGCGUCUGAAACAGUAAAGGUAAAGGGACCCCUGACCAUUAGGUCCAGCCGUGGCCGACUCUGGAGUCGCGGCGCUCAUCUCGCUUUAUUGGCCAGAGGGCAAUUCUGAAGCCAUUUUGACUCUCCCAAAUUGACCUCAAAUAUUUCUCUGCAAGGAGGAAGAAAAUGGGAAAAGCUUUCCAAUUGUCUUUGGACUGUAGGGGCUUACACCUCCCUGUAAAUACGGUCUGGCAAGUAUCUGUUAAGCUGAGCACACUAUCAAUAUGCGUAAGAGAUUCAGGAACUAAGUAUUUACCAUCUCAAAGGAAUGACCAGGCUACCCAGAAAAGGCAAUCAGAUAUCAGGUAGAAGCAACACACUCAAAUUUCUGCUGGGGACCACCUCUUUCUGUGAUGUAUGUGUGAUGUUUUGGGGGGUGGUCUUGAGGUACAGGGUAGGCAGUUUCAAAUGUCUAUAUAACAGCUUGCACACCAAUGUUCUGGGUUCCUCUCCUCCCCUGCAUGUUGCAACAGUUUAAUAAAGAUCAGGCUUACUAGCUGCUUUGCUUCUC
This is a non-coding RNA of Podarcis lilfordi (Lilford's wall lizard), 1072 nucleotides long. Lineage: Eukaryota; Metazoa; Chordata; Lepidosauria; Squamata; Lacertidae. The record is from the annotation of a GenBank genome assembly.